Pogoniulus pusillus (Red-fronted tinkerbird) is the source of this 509-nucleotide long non-coding RNA. RefSeq lists it as uncharacterized. The record is from RefSeq and is a predicted model, not a curated record. The transcript has 3 exons. NCBI's taxonomy places the organism in Eukaryota, Metazoa, Chordata, Aves, Piciformes, Lybiidae.
GUGGGCUUAAAAUAGCCGCUUUGGAACUUUGUUUUGGGGGUAACUGCAUAGAUGAGUGUGCAUCUCUGCUGAGAUCGUUCAGGGUAAUGAGCUUAAAACGGCGUUAGAAAAGCAUGGGAAAGUGCUGCCAGGACUCCUCCCGAAGCUUCGCACACGCAACAGGCCUGCGAGAGGCUCUUGCCAGCCAGUCCCAGGCAUGAAGAGCUGUGAAGGUCUCAAAGAGGUUGCUUGGCUGAAGUCAAUCAGUUCCCUAGGAAGAAGAAAUGGAGGACAUUUGGCAUAGAUCAAUGCCAGCUUUGACACGGUGAAGUCAAAACAGCCAUGACAAUUGUACCAAGAAAUGGAUCAGCUUUCCAGUCUCUUCAUGCCCACUUAUUUGUGAACAGGAGAUUUUCUCAAAAGUGAAUGGGGCUGUCCUGGAGAAAGCCACUGACAAAUCCCUCACUGAGCCCUAGAGGAGAAGAGUCCCUGAUCUAAUUAUUCCUCUUUUGAGAGGAAGGAUUGGAUAA